AACGAACGCUGGCGGCAUGCCUAACACAUGCAAGUCGAACGAGACCUUCGGGUCUAGUGGCGCACGGGUGCGUAACGCGUGGGAACCUGCCUUUAGGUUCGGAAUAACUCAGAGAAAUUUGAGCUAAUACCGGAUGAUGUCUUCGGACCAAAGAUUUAUCGCCUUUAGAUGGGCCCGCGUUGGAUUAGCUAGUUGGUGGGGUAAAGGCCUACCAAGGCUACGAUCCAUAGCUGGUCUGAGAGGAUGAUCAGCCACACUGGGACUGAGACACGGCCCAGACUCCUACGGGAGGCAGCAGUGGGGAAUAUUGGACAAUGGGCGGAAGCCUGAUCCAGCAAUGCCGCGUGAGUGAUGAAGGCCUUAGGGUUGUAAAGCUCUUUUACCCGAGAUGAUAAUGACAGUACCGGGAGAAUAAGCUCCGGCUAACUCCGUG
This 433-nucleotide ribosomal RNA is filed under the name uncultured bacterium. RNAcentral's name for it is "partial 16S ribosomal RNA". It matches the Rfam family "Bacterial small subunit ribosomal RNA", at positions 29 to 507 of the family's 1533-position model. The record is from RNAcentral.